GCAGUGGUUCCAAAAAAAUUUUUUUUCCUUUCUUUUCUUUUUCUUUUUCCUUUUCUUUUUCUUUCUUUCUUUCUUUCUUCUUUUUCGUUCUUCUUUCUUUCUCUCUUUUCUUCUUCUCUCCCUUUCCUUUUUAUUCCUUUCUUUUCUUUUCCAACCAAAAGAUCUCAAAUUUCACUGCCACCGUUGCGCUGUUCAACAUGGAUCGUCGGUUCUUGAUUAUCGCUGCUCAUCAAGUGUAAUUCUUCCUCAUCCAUCGUGAGCAACCCGACAUUCUUAGCUGUCGAUCAAAGCCUUCAUCUUUAUCAGUUAUGCCAUCGAGCUCUACAUGUCUUUUGUCUCUCACCUACAGCUAUGCCACAACUCUCAUUAGAUGAUCAGGGAAGUUUCGUUGUCCCUUUUGCUUUGUAUUUUAUUUUUUAUUGCUUACAUUGGAGAUAAUGUAAGAUUUAGGUGUGGGGGGGGAGUAGUAUAUUGAUAAUAUAUUGAGAAAGUGCAAGUGUAGGCAUUUUUGUUGAAAUUUUUUUGUUUGACUCUGUCGAAUUUUGUCCAAUUUUUGCCUAUCUUUAUGCAUACUUGUGGUUAUUUCUUAUAAACGAUGGUUAGACGUCUCAAAAUUUUCUAUUAUUAAGAUUUUACACUCUAAGGUGUUAAGUAUGACAUGAUUAAGUUUAGGAGUAUCUUUUUGGUGAAUAUUUGAGAUUUUGUGACUUUUAUGCUUUGUGGUUAACUUUUUUAAGUAUUAUAAAUAUUUGUCUAGCAUUUUUUUUAUGCAAAUUGGUUCAACUCCUAAUCUUAGUUCUCCAUGUUUUAGAAAUGAAACGGGUCUGUGUAAUUGUUAAUGCUUAUUUAUGAAUAGUAUUUGGCUAUACUCAACUAGUAUCGUUGCCUAGUAGCCGGAGAUCUUCACCAAAAGUGUCGACUUUUACGUCAAAAAGCGACGAUAACUAUGAGUAUGUGAUUUUUAAGCGAUGAUGACUGAGUAACCGGACUCCUUUAUUUGGCCAAUGUCGGAGUUCGCGUCAAAACGCUUAAAUGGCUGAAGACUAAGCAUUCCUCCUGAAAAAAAAAAUCAAUCAAGUGUGAGGAUAUCUUAGAAAAAAAAUGUGCUAAUAGUGAAAAAUGUGGAAGUGUUUUGAAUGAAUUGUUAGCCCACUGAUUGAUGAAUUUUAAUGUUGAGAUUUUGCUUAAUAGUCGAACCAUUUGCUUAUGGAUGCUGGUUGAAUAUUUUAUAUUCUUAGAUUAGUUAGUCAUAAAUUGAAAGAGUCCUUGAUCUGAAAGCUAACUGAAGAGAUAUUUCUUGAAAAUUGCCACUAAUACUUGACAAAUAUUUAAUUGUAUCUUGGCAAUAGAAGAUUUGAAUAAUAGCCAUUGUUGAAUCCGAUUACUUGAUUUGUUGUUCUCAUACUUGAGGAUAAGCAUGAUUCAGGUGUGGGGGAAAUUGAUAGGGUGUGAAAUUGUCAUUUAAUUCAUAAUUAUUUCCUCUUUUAUUUUAGCCAAAUAUUGUGUUAAUUGAUCGAUUCUACUUAUAUUUGAUAUUUGGUGCUAAUUGUAGAAAAAGCAGCAAAACGUGACAAAAAGGGGCAGGCAAUUUUUCAAUUAAUUUGAUGGUGGCACGUUUAGAACCGAAUUCCAAGUCCGAAUCAAAUUCAAGGCAGUAUUGGAGGAAGAUUUUGAAGAUUUUAAUCUUCAUUAUUAGUUUUAGUGUUGGAUUAGGGAACUUAGAAUAUUAUCUUAGUAGUUACCUUUUUCUAUUUAAGAAACAUGCGGUGUUAUUGGUAAUAGAGUCCGAAUAGGAAACAAAAAGAAAAAGCAAAGGACAGACCGUUUGAGGAAGAGUGGGCUUGCAACAUUUACGGAGGGGAGAUUAAUUCAUCAAAGUCCGGCUCCCGUUUGAUUACUACUUUUUUUGGGGAAUAAAAGAGUGAGCCGGCAGACUAGUAGUUGGAUUCUUUUCCUUCUUUUCGGGCACAAGAGACAAUGAGAAACAUUCUGUUCUUCUCCAUGAUGGGGAGCUAAAUUCCCUUUUUCUAGUAGAAGGUUAAUUUGAAGGCGCGGUUCCAAAUAUCUGUGAAAUCGAAUUAAUUUUAUUUAUUUCUUUUAUACGUUUCCUAAUUUAUUCAUUGAUAUUUAUACGUUUCCUGAUUUAAUUGCUUAUGCUUGUUAUAUUAUUUGAAUGUCAAGAGCUCGAUAUUCAAAUUAACCUAAUGAUCUAAUGCCAAAUUAAUUGAUUGAAUCCGUAAUUGUUCAAUUGAUUAAUACUAGUGGCGACUGGCGUAAUUGGUUUCAUAUUAGAAAAACGUAUGAUCUAAUUUAAACAAACCCUCGUAGCGUGUUUGUUGGUUAAUGUUGGAUUUUUCUAAUUAAUAAUGCAAUCGAGAAAUUAAAUCCUACGAUCGUAUUUAGGGUUAUUUUUUGAUUAGGAAAAUAGUUAAUGGUCAUAUCUUGACUAUCGAAAAAGUAAGGAAAGACUGAUUGUUUAUCGCGUGUUUGACAACUAUAACCAAUCUAUUAAUGAGUAAUUGAAUUAUUUUUGCAUCGAUGAUCAGUUGAAUGAACCGUAUCUGAAAAGUUGCACUUUUGCCUAGAGUCGUAUUGGUUAUUGAUUAAUUCUUAUUUAUUUUUAUUAGUUGUUUCAUUUUUUUAGUUAAUUAGUUAUUUUAUAUUCUCCAAAAUCCCCCAUACUUCGGAUUCUGGAAGAAAUAAUUUAUCCUCAGUCCUUGUGGAUUCGAUCUUACUCACCGCUAUAUACAAAAUUUGUAUUUUUCUUAAGUAGAUAAUUAUUAUUGUACAGGCUCAACACCUGUCACAGCCCGAAUGAAUAUGGCUACAAGCUUUCGGUGUCUUCAUUACCUAAACAAGAAGUUUUUUUUUCUUUUCUUUUUAAGGUUGAUAUUAAAAGUAUUAGGCAGAUGCUGAUAACGACUAAUUCGUUAAAAACAAAGAAGUUGUCAAACGACCAGAACAAAUAGGAAUCAUAUAAUGAUUAGAGAACUCUUUGCAACCAUAAAUCCAUGAUACGUCUCGACUGGAUAGGUACGUACCGACGACCCGUGGUUUUGAGAUGGUGUAACUCGUGUUGCUUUACUCGGGAAUUUGACAUUUUUCACCACGUUUUUUUUUUAUUCUAAACGCUUCAUCGUUAUCAUUGCAUUUGGCACACCAGCAAACUAAUGCUGCACUACGAAUUGGAUUUUUGCUCUUAAUUAGCAAAAUCAAACAGACAUCAAACUUUUCAAAUAGUUUAGAAGAAGAGACAAAACUCCAGCUAUUGUUCAUCAAGCUUCGAACUUGUCAUUGAAAAAAGGUAAAUUACCUUUUAUCCCCUAUAAUUUGGUGUUUUAAUACAUAACUCUAUAUGAUUUAAAAAUUUAUAUAUAACCCUCUUAUAUUUUGAGAAAAUGUGUCACUGUUAAUUUUUUCUAUUAAAACUAGCAGUCAAUAGCAAAAAUUCAAAAUCAACUAAUAAAUUGAUGAUAAAUUUAUCCUUUCAUUACUUCUUUUUUCCUCUGUCGCACCCCAUAUUUGAAAAAAAAUAAAAUUUAUUUGUUUAAAAUGAGUUCUAGAGAAUAUUGGUGUAAAAAAAAUAUAUUUUUGAUUAAUUUAGGUUUAAGGAAAAAAUGAGUUUUCGAUUAAUUUUUAUUUGAAAAUUAGUUUUUUAUUCUUAAUGAGUUUUUAAUAAAAUAAAUAAAGAAAAAGGGCCUUAAAUGUAGGAACAUUAGGCUAACCUGUCUUAUCUCUUUUUUUUUUUUUUUUUCUCAAUGAUAGUGCAGUAAAUUUUUUUAAAGCCGCCCGCGAGAAAAAAAAAAAAAGAAGUAAAGGUAAUAAAAAGCUUAUUUAAGAAAAAGGGGAAAAAAAAGAAAAAGGAGCUUGGGGUUUUUUUUUGGCAAGAUGAAAACUGUCCAAAGACUACUAAAAGCCUGGCUCAAUCGCACAAUUGAGAGUUUCAAGGUUUAGAUUACAUAUAUUGGUCAAUUCACACAAAACAUUAUCGUAUGCAAGUUCAAAGUUUUAAUGAAAGCCUUCGGUGUUAAAGUACAAAAAAUUUCUUGAAGCGAGAAGACCAAAUAACAGAAGAAAGAUACCAAGAAGGUCAAAUAACAAUCUUGUUAAAAAUUAUGUAUGUAGGCACCACAAUUCUAAAGGAAAAAAAUUGCACCUAUUAAUCUCCAAAGACUUAAUAAAUUUGAACUCUAUAAACUACAUUCAAGAAGACGUGUGAGACCAAAUUAAAUAAUCAAUAUAUAUAUAUAUAGAGACAGAGAGCAUUUUCAAACUAUUAGACUUCUCUUUUAUCUUCUAGACUUGGGGGGAGUACUCGUACAUCGCGCGAGUGUUUAGUAUCUGUGAUUAGAGAGGAUUUUUCAUUGAACAAAUAAUAAUCGUACAUUUUAGAAAGAAAUAGUCAUCAAAUAUGACAAAACUAAUAAUAAUACAUUCUAAUUACAACACACACUUAUACACUUUAUUUUAUUAAUGCUUUUACAAUUUUACCAUUUUCCAAAGACCCCUAUAGAUGUCAGUUAAAAAUCGCCAAAAAACAGACAUAAGUUGUUUAAGGCAAAGAAACAUCCUCCAACGGUUAGUUAUAGCAACAUGUUAAUUGUACAACGUGUUAAUAUGUUUUUAUAUUAAUUGUAUAACAAAAGACACACUUCAAUUAAACGUGUCUAUAACACCAUUUCAGUAAUUAUACCAACACAUAAGCUUAUAUGAGUUGUACUCGAUGCAAAAAUGAUUGCAAAAUAAUUUCAUAUUCUAAAAAUACCCAGAUAUCUCCAUAAAUCAAAACUUUAAAUUUACCAAAAAUGAAGGCAUUUUGAUAAAUAUAUCUAAACACAUGCUGCCCUUAGUUGUACCAAAAAUUAAAAAAAAAAAACUACACAACAUUCCAUAUUUCCAAAAAAUUCCGAUUAAUGCAGUUGAAAUUCAAACCCCUUUGACCACAAAUCAUUCUUAUAUAGUAUAAGGGCAAGGAAAUGAACUGACAGGUCAUUUUAGUCCAUAUCAUUACUUUCUUUUCUUUUCCAAAAUGCAACAACAAAUUGUAUAAAUGGUUCAAUUUUCAUACUUCUCCUAAAUAGAGCAAUACGAUUGGAUAGUAUAUGUUCUCAAUUGUUUGGCCCUUCAAAUCAUAGACAUUUACUUCAAUUAUUUGCUCUUAUUCGGGUAAUGUAUAGAACAAUUUUGGUUAAUAAUAAAUCCUUCUUUUCUAAUUAAAACUGUUCGAUAGAUUGUGGUCCGCUCCCUACUCCCCGUGAUAUAUUUCAGUACUCUAUUAGCGACUUGGGGCGUAACUCCAUUGGACGGGAAUAAAACAAGAGAUAAUUUCAGAAACAAUUGCAGCCAUUUUUUUCUGAGGUUUAAAAAAUUAAUGAAACCUCCCCUAAAAAUAUGUUUUGGAAACAAUUGAUGAUGUAAGCAAACAAAAAAUUCAAUAAAUAUCCAAUAUUGCCAAAAAAAAUUAUUUUUCUCUCUUAAACUUAUUUUCACUUAAAAUUUGUAAUGUUUGUGAAUAAAAUCAUAGCCUUUUUCAUAGCCAAGGUAAGCGUAAUUCAAACCUUGAAAGAAGUGGCCCCAUUUAUAAAAAAUCUCAAGAGAGGUUUCUAAAAUUAUCCCAUAAAACAAAUAGCAAAAGGUGGUUCGUAGUAGAUGAUGCAUAAUGCAUUGAACCUUAUCGAAACCAUUAAUUUUUAUUCGUGUCUCGAUAAUGUGUAAGGAUCGAAGACAACCUAAGAGAGGGUGAAUUAAGUUGAUUAAAAACCUAAUUAACUUAUGGGCACUUUUUGCUCAAUAUGAAAUUUACCCUUUUUUCUAAGUGAUCACAUAAUGAAUCAAUUAAUGAAUGAACAAGAUCACUUGAGAGAAGUAGAAGAGAUAAGCAAUGUAAAGAUCACAAACGUAACAAUAAGUAAAUAAAAAGGAAAGAAUUGCAAACCAAUUAACUACCCCAACUCCUCUUGAACUUGUAUAUCUUAGAAAAAAAGUGCUAAUAGUGAAAAAUGUGGAAGUGUUUUGAAUGAAUUGUUAGCCCACUGAUUGAUGAAUUUUAAUGUUGAGAUUUUGUUAAUAGUCGAAAUUUGCUUAUGAUGCUGUUGAAUAUUUAUAUUCUUAGAUUAGUAGUCAUAAAUUGAAAGAGUCCUUGAUCUGAAAGCUAACUGAAGAGAUAUUUCUUGAAAAUUGCCACUAAUACUUGACAAUAUUUAAUUGUAUCUUGGCAAUAGCAAGAUUUGAAUAAUAGCCAUUGUUGAAUCCGAUUACUUGAUUUGUGUUCUCAUACUUGAGGAUAAGCAUGAUUCAGGUGUGGGGGAAUUGAUAGGGUUGAAAUUGUCAUUUAAUAUCAUAAUUAUUUCCUCUUUUAUUUUAGCCAAAUAUUGUGUUAAUUGAUCGAUUCUACUUAUAUUUGAUAUUUGGUGCUAAUUGUAGAAAAAGCAGCAAAACGUGACAAAAAGGGGCAGGCAAUUUUUUCAAUUAAUUUGAUGGUGGCACGUUUAGAACCGAAUUCCAAGUCGAAUCAAAUUCAAGGCAGUAUUGGAGGAAGAUUUUGAAGAUUUAAUCUUCAUUAUUAGUUUUAGUGUUGGAUUAGGGAACUUAGAAUAUUAUCUUAGUAGUUACUUUUUCUAUUUAAGAAACAUGCGGUGUUAUUGGUAAUAGAGUCCGAAUAGGAAACAAAAAAAAAGCAAAGGACAGACCGUUUGAGGAAGAGUGGGCUUGCAACAUUUACGGAGGGAGAUUAAUUCAUCAAAGUCCGGCUCCCGUUUGAUUACUACUUUUUUGGGGAAUAAAAGAGUGAGCCGGCAGACUAGUAGUUGGAUUCUUUUCCUUCUUUUCGGGCACAAGAGACAAUGAGAAACAUUCUGUCUCUCCAUGAUGGGAGCUAAAUUCCCUUUUUCUAGUAGAAGGUUAAUUUGAAGGCGCGGUUCCAAAUAUCUGUGAAAUCGAAUUAAUUUUAUUUAUUUCUUU
Molecule: long non-coding RNA, 6960 nt
Filed under: Coffea arabica (coffee)
Lineage: Eukaryota; Viridiplantae; Streptophyta; Magnoliopsida; Gentianales; Rubiaceae
Description: long non-coding RNA (CARA_LNC006738)
Source: RNAcentral